AAUAUUGCGCAAUGGAGGGAACUCUGACGCAGCGACGCCGCGUGAGCGAUGAAGGUCUUCGGAUCGUAAAGCUCUGUCCUUGGGGAAGAAGGUCUUCGGACUUUACGGUACCUAAGGAGGAAGCCCCGGCUAACUACGUGCCAGCAGCCGCGGUAAUACGUAGGGGGCAAGCGUUGUCCGGAAUUACUGGGCGUAAAGGGCGUGUAGGCGGUUUUUUAAGUUAGGAGUGAAAGUCCAGGGCUUAACCCUGGGAUAGCUUCUAAAACUGGGAGACUUGAGUGCAGGAGAGGAAAGUAGUAUUCCUGGUGUAGCGGUGAAAUGCGUAGAUAUCAGGAGGAAUACUCGUGGCGAAGGCGGCUUUCUGGCCUGUAACUGACGCUGAGGCGCGAAAGCGUGGGGAGCAAACA
Molecule: ribosomal RNA, 407 nt
Filed under: uncultured bacterium
Lineage: Bacteria
Description: partial 16S ribosomal RNA
Rfam family: Bacterial small subunit ribosomal RNA
Source: RNAcentral